This is a long non-coding RNA of Cuculus canorus (common cuckoo), 454 nucleotides long. RefSeq lists it as uncharacterized. NCBI's taxonomy places the organism in Eukaryota, Metazoa, Chordata, Aves, Cuculiformes, Cuculidae. The transcript is spliced from 3 exons. The record is from RefSeq and is a predicted model, not a curated record.
GUUCUGGCGACCCAGGUGGGACCUCGCGGGCAUUGCUGAGGCGGCUCGCAUCGAUCUCGCUCCAGCUGGCACCGAGUGUUUCUUGGGGAGCCAUCGACCGCAACCGACCUCCGCUGCCCCCGACGGACCAGGGAUAUUGGUCUUGUGCCCAAUCGGAAAGGUACCAUAUUUUCUGGUCUGGUAAAAGCCUGCCUGUUAGACACGGCGAAAGCUACGCUUGGUUGGGCUAGGGAGCUCCAGAGGAAAGCCUAGGCGCCGUCAGAAAGAAAGCGAAAGCUCUGCAGGUUCAGCAUCAGUGAUCUGUUCUGCAUUUUCGAACUCUGACGCAGCUACAAAGUGCCCUGAUCUGGAAUCGUCCAUUAUCAUUAGAAAAUCCAGUACACCAAAUUGAGCCAGGAGACCAGGUCUACGUUCGAGAUUGGAAUGAAGAACCACUGAAGGAACGGUGGAAUGG